AAUGGUCGGGAGACUGAUCCAGCCAUGCCGCGUGCAGGAUGACGGCCUAUGGGUUGUAAACUGCUUUUAUACGGGAAGAACCCGCCUACGUGUAGGCGGCUGACGGUACCGUAAGAAUAAGGACCGGCUAACUCCGUGCCAGCAGCCGCGGUAAUACGGAGGGUCCGAGCGUUAUCCGGAAUCAUUGGGUUUAAAGGGUCCGUAGGCGGGCCUGUAAGUCAGGGGUGAAAGUUUGUGGCUCAACCAUAAAAUUGCCUUUGAUACUGCAGGUCUUGAGUCAUGGUGGGGUUGCCGGAACAUGUGGUGUAGCGGUGAAAUGCAUAGAUAUCACAUAGAACACCGAUCGCGAAGGCAGGUGACCAACCAUAGACUGACGCUGAUGGACGAAAGCGUGGGUAGCGAACGGGAUU
This 410-nucleotide ribosomal RNA is filed under the name uncultured Flavobacteriia bacterium. RNAcentral's name for it is "bacterial SSU rRNA". It matches the Rfam family "Bacterial small subunit ribosomal RNA", at positions 370 to 779 of the family's 1533-position model. Lineage: Bacteria; Pseudomonadati; Bacteroidota; Flavobacteriia. The record is from RNAcentral.